AUGAACGACUCUCGGCAACGGAUAUCCCGGCUCUCGCAUCGAUGAAGAACGUAGCGAAAUGCGAUACUUGGUGUGAAUUGCAGAAUCCCGUGAACCAUCGAGUCUUUGAACGCAAGUUGCGCCCAAAGCCAUUAGGCUGAGGGCACGUCUGCCUGGGUGUCACG
RNAcentral lists this ribosomal RNA (164 nucleotides) under Portenschlagiella ramosissima. RNAcentral's name for it is "5.8S ribosomal RNA". It matches the Rfam family "5.8S ribosomal RNA". From Rfam's summary of the family: 5.8S ribosomal RNA (5.8S rRNA) is a component of the large subunit of the eukaryotic ribosome. It is transcribed by RNA polymerase I as part of the 45S precursor that also contains 18S and 28S rRNA. The record is from RNAcentral. Lineage: Eukaryota; Viridiplantae; Streptophyta; Magnoliopsida; Apiales; Apiaceae.